RNAcentral lists this ribosomal RNA (307 nucleotides) under uncultured eukaryote. RNAcentral describes it as "partial 18S ribosomal RNA". It matches the Rfam family "Eukaryotic small subunit ribosomal RNA", at positions 1470 to 1796 of the family's 1831-position model. The record is from RNAcentral.
CCCUUAGGCGUUCUGGGCCGCACGCGCGCUACACUGACAAAGGCAACGAGCUACUCUUCACCGAAAGGUGUGGGUAAUCUUUUGAAACUUUGUCGUGCUGGGGAUAGAUCCUUGCAAUUUUUGAUCUUAAACGAGGAAUUCCUAGUAAGCGCAAGUCAUCAACUUGCGUUGAUUACGUCCCUGCCCUUUGUACACACCGCCCGUCGCUACUACCGAUUGAAUGGUUUAGUGAGGCCUUCGGAUCCGCGACUCGUUUGUGGAGAAGUUGGACAAACUCAGUCAUUUAGAGGAAGUAAAAGUCGUAACA